RNAcentral lists this ribosomal RNA (305 nucleotides) under uncultured bacterium. RNAcentral's name for it is "partial 16S ribosomal RNA". It matches the Rfam family "Bacterial small subunit ribosomal RNA", at positions 506 to 807 of the family's 1533-position model. The record is from RNAcentral.
ACAGCAGCAGCCACGGUAAUACAGAGGGUGCGAGCGUUAAUCGGAUUUACUGGGCGUAAAGCGUGCGUAGGCGGCUUUUUAAGUCGGAUGUGAAAUCCCUGAGCUUAACUUAGGAAUUGCAUUCGAUACUGGGAAGCUAGAGUAUGGGAGAGGAUGGUAGAAUUCCAGGUGUAGCGGUGAAAUGCGUAGAGAUCUGGAGGAAUACCGAUGGCGAAGGCAGCCAUCUGGCCUAAUACUGACGCUGAGGUACGAAAGCAUGGGGAGCAAACAGGAUUAGAUACCCCGGUAGUCCCUGUCUCUUAUAC